GGAAACAGGUGCUAAUACCGUAUAACACUAUUUUCCGCAUGGAAGAAAGUUGAAAGGCGCUUUUGCGUCACUGAUGGAUGGACCCGCGGUGCAUUAGCUAGUUGGUGAGGUAACGGCUCACCAAGGCCACGAUGCAUAGCCGACCUGAGAGGGUGAUCGGCCACACUGGGACUGAGACACGGCCUAGACUCCUACGGGAGGCAGCAGUAGGGAAUCUUCGGCAAUGGACGAAAGUCUGACCGAGCAACGCCGCGUGAGUGAAGAAGGUUUUCGGAUCGUAAAACUCUGUUGUUAGAGAAGAACAAGGAUGAGAGUAGAACGUUCAUCCCUUGACGGUAUCUAACCAGAAAGCCACGGCUAACUACGUGCCAGCAGCCGCGGUAAUACGUAGGUGGCAAGCGUUGUCCGGAUUUAUUGGGCGUAAAGCGAGCGCAGGCGGUUUCUUAAGUCUGAUGUGAAAGCCCCCGGCUCAACCGGGGAGGGUCAUUGGAAACUGGGAGACUUGAGUGCAGAAGAGGAGAGUGGAAUUCCAUGUGUAGCGGUGAAAUGCGUAGAUAUAUGGAGGAACACCAGUGGCGAAGGCGGCUCUCUGGUCUGUAACUGACGCUGAGGCUCGAAAGCGUGGGGAGCGAACAGGAUUAGAUACCCUGGUAGUCCACGCCGUAAACGAU
Molecule: ribosomal RNA, 671 nt
Filed under: uncultured bacterium
Lineage: Bacteria
Description: bacterial SSU rRNA
Rfam family: Bacterial small subunit ribosomal RNA
Source: RNAcentral